Molecule: ribosomal RNA, 1330 nt
Filed under: Microbacterium sp.
Lineage: Bacteria; Bacillati; Actinomycetota; Actinomycetes; Micrococcales; Microbacteriaceae
Description: bacterial SSU rRNA
Source: RNAcentral
CCAAGCUUGCUUGGWGGAUCAGUGGCGAACGGGUGAGUAACACGUGAGCAACCUGCCCUGGACUCUGGGAUAAGCGCUGGAAACGGCGUCUAAUACUGGAUAUGAGCUCCUAUCGCAUGGUGGGGGUUGGAAAGAUUUUUCGGUCUGGGAUGGGCUCGCGGCCUAUCAGCUUGUUGGUGAGGUAAUGGCUCACCAAGGCGUCGACGGGUAGCCGGCCUGAGAGGGUGACCGGCCACACUGGGACUGAGACACGGCCCAGACUCCUACGGGAGGCAGCAGUGGGGAAUAUUGCACAAUGGGCGGAAGCCUGAUGCAGCAACGCCGCGUGAGGGAUGACGGCCUUCGGGUUGUAAACCUCUUUUAGCAGGGAAGAAGCGAGAGUGACGGUACCUGCAGAAAAAGCCCCGGCUAACUACGUGCCAGCAGCCGCGGUAAUACGUAGGGCGCAAGCGUUAUCCGGAAUUAUUGGGCGUAAAGAGCUCGUAGGCGGUUUGUCGCGUCUGCUGUGAAAUCCCGAGGCUCAACCUCGGGCCUGCAGUGGGUACGGGCAGACUAGAGUGCGGUAGGGGAGAUUGGAAUUCCUGGUGUAGCGGUGGAAUGCGCAGAUAUCAGGAGGAACACCGAUGGCGAAGGCAGAUCUCUGGGCCGUAACUGACGCUGAGGAGCGAAAGGGUGGGGAGCAAACAGGCUUAGAUACCCUGGUAGUCCACCCCGUAAACGUUGGGAACUAGUUGUGGGGACCAUUCCACGGUUUCCGUGACGCAGCUAACGCAUUAAGUUCCCCGCCUGGGGAGUACGGCCGCAAGGCUAAAACUCAAAGGAAUUGACGGGGACCCGCACAAGCGGCGGAGCAUGCGGAUUAAUUGAUGCAACGCGAAGAACCUUACCAAGGCUUGACAUACACCAGAACACCGUAGAAAUACGGGACUCUUUGGACACUGGUGAACAGGUGGUGCAUGGUUGUCGUCAGCUCGUGUCGUGAGAUGUUGGGUUAAGUCCCGCAACGAGCGCAACCCUCGUUUAUGUUGCCAGCACGUAAUGGUGGGAACUCAUGGGAUACUGCCGGGGUCAACUCGGAGGAAGGUGGGGAUGACGUCAAAUCAUCAUGCCCCUAUGUCUUGGGCUUCACGCAUGCUACAAUGGCCGGUACAAAGGGCUGCAAUACCGUGAGGUGGAGCGAAUCCCAAAAAGCCGGUCCCAGUUGGAUUGAGGUCUGCAACUCGACCUCAUGAAGUCGGAGUCGCUAGUAAUCGCAGAUCAGCAACGCUGCGGUGAAUACGUUCCCGGGUCUUGUACACACCGCCCGUCAAGUCAUGAAAGUCGGUAACAU